This 729-nucleotide long non-coding RNA is filed under the name Calidris pugnax (ruff). Its description in RNAcentral is "lncRNA (ENSCPUG00000011176.1)". Lineage: Eukaryota; Metazoa; Chordata; Aves; Charadriiformes; Scolopacidae. The record is from RNAcentral.
CCCCCCGCCCGGGGACGGGGCGGGUCCCGGCCGCGGCCCAGUCAGGCGGCGCCGCAUCGCUGGGAGACCCCGCCGCCUGCCCGGGCCCGGGCCCGGCCGCCGCUCCCCUCAGCGAGCUCCCGUUUCGGGCCUUGUCCGGCCCCGGUUCCUCCCGAUUCCUGCGUCGGUACUUACUGCCAGGUACUGCCCACGGAGGCUGGCACAAGCGAGAUCUGGCCAGGUGUCUCCACGAUAGGCUCCACAGCAGAAGCAGCAGCGACCCACAGGCAGGGGCCAUGGACUCCAGUACAGAGGCAGGGAGAAACAAGGGCCUAGUGCUCCUUAAGGGAUGGACAACAAGGAGAACAUGACCAACAAGACCUUUCCAUUCCUGUAGUACCUGAGCAAGGCCAGUUACGAUUCUAUUUUAUAUUCUCUUUUGAUGGAAGGCGACAUGAAUCAAGCCUCGAAACUCAUCAUCUGAGGCGAGGAAUAUGCUGCUGACCUUAUCUCCAGCCUAAAGAUGUCACAGAGAUUUGCAGGAGACAUAAAGCCUAAGGAAUUGAUCUGUGCAUGGAGGGAAUCGGAAGGGAUCUGAGCGUGGUGGGUGGCAGUGGUCAACUGUGCACUUCAAAAGGCGUUCUCACAGACUGGCAUCAGUCAUUUAUAUGCAAUAGAAAAUGAGGAAAGCAGCCUUUCUCCCGCAGCAUUGUUUUAGUUUGCAAAAGAGUACGUUGGCAGCAUUGUUUC